RNAcentral lists this long non-coding RNA (11584 nucleotides) under Equus caballus (horse). RNAcentral's name for it is "lncRNA (ENSECAG00000052444.1)". Lineage: Eukaryota; Metazoa; Chordata; Mammalia; Perissodactyla; Equidae. The record is from RNAcentral.
GUAACUCUCUUUUUAUUUCCAUAUGAUUUAUAAGACAAAUUCAAAAAAUAAUUACAUAUAUAUGUUAACAGCACACAAUGUAAAAAAAAAAAAAAGAUGUAAUUUCUGACAAUAACUACUUAAAGGGGAGAGGAGGAAUAUAAGUGCAGAGUUUGAUAUACAGGCAUACCUCAGAGAUAUUGCAGGUUUGGUUCCAGGCCACCACAAUAAAGCAAAUAUCACAAUAAAGUGAGUCACACGAAUUUUUUGGUUUCCCAGUGCAUACAAAAGUUAUGUUUAGGGACAGCCUGGUCGUGUAGUCAUUAAGUUCACCGUGCUCCACUUCAGUGGCCAAGGGUUUGCUGGUUCUGGUCCUUGGCAGGGGCCUACACACCCCUCAUCAAGCCAUGCUGUGGUGGCAUCCCACAUAGAAGACGUAGAGGGACUUACAACUAGGAUAUACAACUAUGUACUGGGGCUUUGCGGAGAAAAAUAGAAGAUGAAGAUUGGCAACAGCUGUUAGAUCAGGGCCACUCUUCCUCACCAAAAGAGCAUAAAAAACAAUGUGAGAUAGUAAUACCUGUUGUUUAGAAAAAAAUGUUAUGUUUAUACUAUACUGUAGUCUAUUAAGCAUGCAAUAAGAUUAUGUCUAAAAAAACUAUGUACAUACCUUAACUUAAAAAUACUUUGCUAAAAAAUACUAACCAUCAUCUGAGCCUUCAGCAAGUUAUAAUCUUUCUGCUAGCAGAGAGUCUUGCCUCCACAUUGACGGCUGCUGACUCAUCAAGGUGGUGGUUGCUGAAGGUUGGGUGGCUGUGUCAAUUUCUUAAAAUAAGACAACAAUGAAACUUGCCGCAUCGAUUGACUCUUCCUUUCAUGAACGAUUUCUCUGCAGCAUGCGAUGCUGUUUGAUAGCAUUUUACCCACCACAGAACUUCUUUCAAAAUCCUCUCAAGCCCUGACACUGAUUUUUCAACUAAGUUUAUGUCAUGUUCUAAAUCCUUUGUUUUCAUUUCACCAACCUUCACAGCAUCUUGACCAGGAGUAGACUCCAUCUCAAGAAACCACUUUCUUUGCUCAUCCAUAAGGGGCAGCUCCUCAUGCAUUAAAGUUUUCUCAUGAGAUGGCAGCAGUUCAGUCACGUCUUCAGCUCCACGCCUACUUCUAGUUCUCUUGCCGUUUCCACCACAUCUGCAGUUACUUCCUCCGCUGACGUCCUGAACCCCUCACAGUCAUCCCUGAGGGCUGGAAUCAACUCCUUCCAAACUCCUGUUAAUGUUGAUAUUUUGACCUUUUCCCAUGAAUCACGAAUCUUCUUAAUGGCAUCUAGAAUAGUGGAUCCUUUCCAGAGGGUUUUCAAUUUACUUCGGCAGGUCUGUCAGAGGAAUGACAAUCUAUGGCAGCUAUAGCCUUCCAAAAUGUAUUUCUUAAAUGAUAAGACUUGAAAGUCAAAAUUACUCCUUGAUGCAUGGGCUGCAGAAUGGAUGUUGUGUUAGCAGGCAUGAAAACCACAUUAAUCUCAUUGUACAUUUUUCCAUCAGAGCUCUUGGGCGACCAGGUGCACUGUCAGCAAGCGGUGAUAUUUUGAAAGGAAUCUUUUCUCCUGAGCAGUAGCUCUCAACAGUGGGCUUAAAAUAUUCAGUAAACCAAUAUGCUGUCAUCCAAGCUUUGUUGUUGCAUUUAUAGAGCACAGGCAGAGUAGAGUUAGCCUAAUUCUUAAGGGCCCUAGGAUUUUCGCAAUGGUAAAUGAACGCUGGCUUCAACUUAAAGUCAUCAGCUGCAUUAGCCCCUAAUAAAAGAGUCAGCCUGUCCUUUGAAGCUUUGGAGCCAGGCACUGACUUCUCCUCUCUAGCUGUGAAAGUCUUAGAUGGCAUCUUCUUCCAACAUAAGGUUGUUUUGUCGGGUCCAGCCCCGGGGCCAAGUGGUUAAGUUCACGAGCUCCGCUUCAGUGGCCCAGAGCUUUGCCAGUUUGGAUCCUAGGCAUGGACAUGGCACCGCUCAUCAAGCCAUGCUGAGGCGGCGUCCCACAUAGCAGAGCCAGCGGGACCUACAACUAGAAUAUACAACUACGUACUGGGAGGCUUUGGGGAGAAGAAAAAGAAGAAGGAAAAAAGAAGAUUGGCAACAGAUGUUAGCUCAGGUGCUAAUCUUAAAAAAAAAAGGUUGUUUUGUCUACACUGAAAAUCUGUUGUUUAGUGUAGCCCCCUUCAUUAAUUAUCUCAACUAGAUCUUCUGGAGAACUUGCUGCAGCUUCUACAUCAGCACUUGCUGCUUCACCUUGGACUUUUACAUUGUGGAGACGGCUUCUUUCCUUGAACCUCAUGAACCAACCUCUGCUGCCUUCACACUUUUCUUCUGCAGCUUCCUCAGCUCUCUCAGCCUUCAUAGACUUGAAGAGGGUUAGGGCCUUGCUCUGGAUUAGGUUUUGGCUUAAGGGAAUGUUGUGGCUGGUUUGAUCUUCUAUCCAGACCGCUAAAACUUUCUCCAAAUCAGCAAUAAGGCUGUUUCACUUUCUUAUAAUUCGUGUGUGCACUGGAGCAGCACAUUUAACUUCCUUCAAGAACUUUCCCUUUGCAUUCACAACUUGGCUAACUGGUGGGCACAAGAGGCCUAGCUUUCAGCCUGUCUUGGCUUUCACCUUGCUUUCCUCACUCAGCUUGAUCACUUACGGCUUUUGAUGUACAGUGAGAGAUGUGCGACUCUUCCUUUCACUUGAACAUUUGGAGGCCAUCGUAGGGUUAUUAAUUGCCCUAAUUUCAUAUUGUUCUGUCUCAAGGAACAGGGAGGCCUGAGAAGAGGGAGAAAGACAGGGGAAGGGCUGGUUGGGGGAGCAGUCAGACCAUACGCAGUAUUUAUUGUUUGCCAUCUUAUAUGGGUGCGGUUUACGGCACCCCAAAACAAUGACAAUAGUAACACCAUAGAUCACUAAUCACAAAUCACCAUAACAAAUAGAGUAAUAAUGAAAAAGUUUGAAAUACUGUGAGAAUUGUCAAAAUGUGACACAGAGACAUGAAGUGAGCAAAUGCUAUGGGGAAAAUGGUGCUGACAGACUAGCUUGUUGCAGGGUUGUCACAAAUCUUCAAUUUGUGAAAAACUCAAUAUCUGCAAAGCACAGUAAAGCAAAGCACAGGUAUAUCUGUAUUACAGAAGCUAAGCUGAUGUUAAUUCCAACUAGAUGGUUACAAAUGUAAGACGUGAAUUGUAAUCCCCAGGGUAACCACUAAGGAAAUAACUAAAAAAUAUACAGAGAAGGAAUGAGAAGGAAUUAAAACAACAUACUAGAAAAAAAUCAAUUCAACACAAAAGAAGAUCGUAAUGGAGAAAUUGAGGAACAACAACAAAAAAGACAUGUAGAACACAAAUAAUAAAAUGGCCAAAGUAACUCCUUCCUUAGCAGUAAUUACUUAAAGUGCAAAUGAAUUAAACUUUGUGUGAUGGUUAAAUUUGUGUCGGUUUGGCUGGGGCAAGAUUCUCCAGCAGGCUGUAUAUGCUCUGAAUUAGCACCCAACAUAUGAUACUGUUUCUCCCAUAGCCAGGAUUCACAGGUCCAGGAAUCAAGGGGUGGAAAUAGGAGUGGUGCCACACACUAUCACUCCUAGGUCACUCCUAGUGACCCACUAGCAAAAUUUUUGUUUCCUGUCCCCGUGACCUUAUGCUAUGCUGGCCUAGAAAUCUUAGUUCCAAAGGGAGGAACGCUUCCAAAGGAGACACAAUAGUGAUUCCAUUAAACUAGAAGUUAAGACUGUCAUCUAGCCACCCUUGGGGGUCCUCAGGCUUCUGAAUCAACAGGAAAAGAAGGGAGUUAAUGUGCUGUCUGGGGUAACUGAUCAUGACAACCAGGUAUAAAUUGGACUGCUACUUCACAAUGGAGGUAAGGAAGAGUAUUCUGGAAUCCAGAAGAUCCCUUAGGGCAUCUCUUAGUACUACCAUGCUCUUUAAUUAAAGUCAAGGGAAAAUUACAGCAACCCAAUCCAGGAGGGACUACUAAUGGCCCAGACCCUUCAGGAAUAAAGGUUUGGGUCACCCUAUCAGGCUGCUCUUAAUUGAAAACACUAGAUCCAACAGCAAUGACUUUACUUCCCAAGUGAAUCCAUAGGUUUAAUGCCAUUACAGGUUCUCGUAUUCCGGUCUGUACAGCUCAGAAGCUGUCAGGAACCCCAAGAGAAGAAGAGGGGCCGUCGUGGGUCAUUAUAUAUUUUACAGCUGACCACUGAGUUCCUAAAAGAAAGUCUUAACUCUCAGCCUUCCCAACCCAGGAACUCCUGGCAAGAGAGCCCAGAGCCCAACAAGGCCCCGGGUAGCUGCUGCCCAGUCUCUGAGAAAGAGAUUCAGAGGCCACUGGAGUCCCAAGUGGCAACAGGGGACAUCCAGUCCAGCUGCUCACCAGUUGGCAGUCUGCCCUUCCUCUAGGACCCGCUUUCCGCCAGGGACUAGAGGAGCUCACCUAUUGGAAGGCCCCAGCAGAAGGAGCCAGGGGCCUCCCCGGGGGCGUGGGCUGCUGUGCUCCUGAACUGACUCUUCCUUGGGAGAGGCGGGCACCCUGCCUUCCUGUCUGCAGCUGUGGGUGCAGACAAAGUACACGAGGCCUCUCUCCUCCCCUGGGCCAGCCAGCUUUUAACACCACUGUGGAGGCGGGGUGCCACCCUCGCUGCCCAGUGAGCAUCCUCUGUCAUCGCUACCCAUCUAGGGUUCAUUUCCACAAAGAAAUGUCCCUCAGGCUGAUGAAUACCACCCCCCUCGUUCUUCCUUGAUACCUGUCUCCUCAGAAGCACAACCUGCUCACCUGUUCUCCAUCUUUCCCCAGGACCACAAACAACCACCAGAACAACCAACCUCAACUUCAGCCAAAUCCCCAGGCCAUUUUCUCAUGUUUUCCCCAAUUUUGUCCAUACACAUUUUCCUGCAAAGGUCCCUUUGCCCUUUUGGAGCUGUGUCUCUUCUCCGAGAAUAGUGGGUGUUAGUCAGGAAUACGCUAAAGACUUCCUCUUAAUAGAAAAAGAGCUACCCCAUGGGGAUCCCAGUUCCCCCAGACCUCGGCCAUACGGCUCUCACCUGGCUGGUAGACACCUUGAUUUGCUUUUCACUGUCCAUCCCUGGGGGUCAGGGUUCUUCUCUCCCCCAGUCAGUUGCUGGGGAAGAAGGGGCAUUGUGCAGUACUAUACUGCGGUAGCUCUCUGAGGUGGGACCCAGUCACUCUGUCAAGAGCCUCCAGAGAAGAAGAAAGGGUGGUCAUGGGUCAUUUUACAGGUAGCCCCUGUGUGCUUCACAGAGCCACGUGAGCCUCCUCCAGAGGCCAGGGCUGCCUUCCUCAGUGAUCCCUACUGUUUCUCCUCAGCGCCUCAUCUUCCUCCCAAAACUGGCUGCAUCUCAGAGUUCUGAGGAAUUCACUUUCCAAGCAAGAUCCUAGGCCCUUGUGUCCAUGGCCAGAGGCCAGGUUCUCAUUGGUUUCUUGCUCUAGGUACAGUGGUGAGUGUAAAGGGCUCAGCAGCUACCUAGAUGGAGUGAUGUGGAAGGAGGGGACUUUAGGAAUGAGACCUGACCCCUCCCUUGGGCAUCUGCUCUCCCAGACCAUAGUUUACUCUUUCCAGGUAGAAGUUUCGCGCAGUAAGUCUUCCUGUGUCUUCUCCUCUGGCCCUGACUUUGACAGGAGAGCUGCUGUUGUACCUACUGGACCACCUGCUGCCUUAAACUUGGGCUCUGAGACCAGAAUCACCAGCAUCUCCUCAAAGGAAACCCAGCAGCUGAAACCCUCUUUUGCCAGGAGCCAGCCCUGGUCCGACAGGGUCUCAGACUGAGAAACCCACAGCAGCUGCCCAGGCAGCAAGCGUCACUGUCGGUUGUGAACCAACCAGCUGGUGCUCACCCUGUAGUUCCCCUUCAUGGACCUCCUUGGGGAGAAAUUCCAGGAUUUCAGACUCUUGGGUCCCCUCGUCACUGAGCUCAGUGUCCCUAACUGGGCACUUGCAGCAUUUCUAAGAGUUUGUGCUUCUGCCAAAACAAUAAGGUCCUUGGAGAUGGAUCCAAUCCAUUCUCUGACUCCAUACAAUGGCUACUCUCCGUUCAGUCUGAAUGUGGGUGAGAUGUGCCCCCCAACACACCCUUCGGCAUCCCUCCCUGAAUGGGGCGGGAAAGCCACGAGGCACAGGUGUAGAAGGAAGAACUGCAGAAAGAGGAAGCCAGCAGCCUCCUGCUGAAUCUUGCUUAGGGUUCUACGUACAGAUGGUCUCAGAAGGAAUUUACUCUCCUGUGGAGGAAACAGUUGGAAUUCACAGAAACCCUGUGAACCUGAGUUUCCUCACGUGUAGAAUGAGGACACUGGACUCCAUAAUGUCCAAGUGUCCUUCUGUGGUAGAAGAAUACUUCUCCCCCCACACCCAAAGAUGUCCAUUUCCUGCUCCCCAGAACCUGUGAAUAUGUUAUGUUACCUGGCAAGGGGGAAUUAAGGUUGCAGAUGGAAUUAGGCAACCAAUCAGGUAACCUUGAGAUGGGGAGUUUAUCCUGGAUUAUCCGAGUGAGCCCAGUGUAAUCUUAAGGGUCCUUAUAAGUGAAAGAGGGAGGCAGGAGGGUCAGUGUCAGAGGCAGAGAUUUGAAGAUGCUGCUUUGAAGAUGGAGGAAGGGACGAUGAGCCAAAGGAUGCAGAUGGCCACUAGAAAUGGGAAAAGGCAAGACGACUGUUCUCCCCUAAAGCCUCCUGAAGGAACACAGUCUUGCCAAUGUCUGGAUUUUAGCCCAGUGGGACCCACUUUGAACUUCUCACCUGCAGAACAUUAAGACAAUUUGUGUUGUUUUCACCCCCUCAUCUUGUCGUAACUUAUUACAGCAGCAGUAGGAAACUAAUUCACCCUCCAUCCCUAACACCCACACCACAAUUUCCCAUUGGCUCCACCCUUUCCACCAGAGCUCCAUCUCUUCUGUCUCUAAGUUAUGGAUCCCUGGGUACCAGCACUGCUAUGAGUCAGAAUCCCAAUCCUGGUGCAACCUCAUAUCAAAUAUUUAUAUACUCUGAAGGAAAUCAGGAGCAUAACAUCCUACCUUUACACAGGACCUUGCUGUUUUUAAACCACUGUCAUUCGAAAAGAAUGUACCAGAGUGUUCUUAUGUGCUACUGAGCUGCUUCCUUGCAGAUGCAAAGCCAAAUGGACAUCAUCCUUUCCCUCAAGGAAUUCACUGUCUAGUUGGAAAAAGAAACACAGAAGCAACUACCUAGAAUCCUUGAUGUUUCAGAAGUUAGACUAGAGUUGGACCAACCCAGAGUCCCUCAAUGGAGACAGCAAAUGGCAAGAAGAGUUAUAUUAAUUGACCACAUCUUCUCUAACCUUCUGAUAUUGGACAAUGGCGCCAGACUGAGCUAUGGAGCAUACCUGGACAUGCAUAUUUUUUUUAAUCUAAUGGAUAAUUCUGAAUCAUAGCCAGGACGCUGAACCACUGAAAGAUCUUUUCACGUUUUACUUUGUGUCAAGUGUUCUUUGUACUCUCCUUUUGUCAGAGGUGGUUGGAAAAUUCUAGUAACACAGAGUGGUAGAGAAAAAUCACUGCUUAAGCGCAGGAUCAUGAACAAGGCAUCCAUUUCCUCAUGUCUCCUCUCCCCUUCCUUAUUCUCAAAACGUGUCACACUCAUGUAUAGUCUUUAUGUGGAUGGAUAGGACUAACUCAAACUUGAAUCAUUCCUUUUCGUAUGCUUGGUUUUGGGGUUUUGUUUUGUUUGAACCUGAGCAGAAUUGUCAUUAGGACCUGGAAACAAAUACGUCACACAGAAGACUUACUGACAAAAGAAAUUUGACUAAAUUCUUCCUUUUGUGUUGAAUAUUGACUGCUGAAAUACCCAAAUUGGCAAUUUAUGAAGAGGAAAACUGGCAAACCAUUUAGAUGGAAUGUCUAAGAAACUAUAAGUUUUUAAUGGAGUUAAGGGUGGCCUGUUUCUAUAAUAUUUUAUGAAUCUAGCCAGGCAAGACCGUGCAUGUAGAGCUAUGAGUCAAUUGAGCAAGGAUCAGAGCCACCAUUGCAAACUGUCCGUAAACAGUCCAGAAAUAGGCAUUCUUCCUCAGGUGUUUCUUUAGCUUGACUUUCUAAAUCUAUGACACAAGGAAUAUUACCAAGACUCAGCAAGAAAGAGACCUGAUGGCUUCAAAGAUUUUGACACUGGAAACUUGUCCUGGCAUAUCUGAAAUGUAUUAUGUCACAUGUCCAUGGGCUCAGCCUGGAGCCCACACCUUGAGCAUCUGCCCAGAAUUCUCACCCUGAUUCUUCGUACCUCUACUCUUCUUUGUUGGGUGGACCGCUUCUUGAUCCCCCAGGGCAAUGCCUAUGGGGCUUUGAUGUGGCUGAAGCAUAAUCAGAGGGGAAGGACAGAGCACACAAGGCAAGAAAGUUUGGAAUAAACCUGCAUCCAGAUGAACUAAGUUCCUUGCACUGCUUUGGAGAAGAGUUUGAAGAGUCAGUUGCCAAUGGUCAACCACUGCCACUUAGGAGGGGCUAGCAAAAGACACUAAUGACAAUCUUUGGAAUAAAAAUGUCCUUGUUACUUCCAAGUUUUCAGAGCAUCUAUUAAAGCUGAUAGUGCAAGGUGUUGAUAUCUAAUCCGUUCAUUGCACUAUAUGUCCCCUCAUUUACCUCCCUCCCCUGCCGUACCCCUGCCAGCCAUGUUGCUCACGCCAAUUGUCCUUCCAGGAGGAUGGGGGCAGGGCUUCCCCUCGGAUAUGGUUACAAUUUUCCCACUGAGCCCACUGCCCCUCAGCAUCUGGUCUGGAGGAUUCGCUUCUCCUGCAGCAAUUCUGCCCAUUCACUCUUCCUUUGAAAGAUCGCUGCCCCUGAUUCUCAAAGCAGCAAGCAUUCUCUCCUUUGCCCUCAUUUCAUCUCAGCACAGGGCUCUUCAUUUGCUGUAGACAUCGUGGGGCUCUAGGCAUGGAGUGAUUCCGUUAAUGCAAUGAAAAAUGAUAGUCCUCAUCACUUCAGGUCCAAAUCAACCCCCUCAUAUACUCACACCAGCAGCAGCAGCCACAAUCAUUUACCAUGAAGCCACAUGAUUCAAUACACCACUUUCAUAUCCAAGGACCCAAAGAAGUUUAAGACACAGGCUCAUUCUUGGGUAAAAGUUUGACUCCAGCAGAGAAUAGCAUCCCUCCAGACUGAGGAGUGGUGAAGAGUGUGGAGUCAAGUUGGUCUGUGAGCAAAGAGCAGCCUUCGACCUUGGCUGGCUGGAAAUGUUCUCAUGAGAGAGGAAAGGUAUGAUACGACACGGGUGUUUGAGAAGGAGGGCAUCUAGUCAAGAAACAGAGAUGGGGCAGGAGAUGAGAGUGCUUACAACACGUUCAACAAUGUCGAAGAUCUUUCAAAUGUGAUUGGAGGGUGUGUGUAGAAGAGUAGAGAAAUGGAAUGUGAAAAAAUUGUUCGGACCAGACUAUGGGGAGCCUUCUAAAGCUGAGCUAAAGAGAUAGGACUUUAUUCUGUUGGCAGUGGGAAGUCAUUGAAGGAUUUUGAGGCAAGGUGAGGUACUUCUGCUAAGCAUUCUUUGAGAAAAAUGGCUCCAACAGGGUACAUAGGAUUGGAUUGGUGGGUGAAAGUGUCUGAAGGCAGAAACACUGUAGUGGGUUUAAUGGUGACCCUCAAAAAUUCAUGUCCAGCCAGAAUCUCAGAACGUGACCUUAUUUGGAAAUAGAGCCUUUGCACAUGUAAUUAGUUAAGAUGAGGUCAUACUGGCUUAGGGUGGGCUCUAAAUCUAAUGCCUGGUGUCCUUAAAAGAAGAGGAGAGGACACACAAAGAUGCGUACAGAGAGGAGAACACCAUGUGUAGGUGGAGACAGAGGGUGGAGUGAUGCUUCUCCAAGCCAAAGAAGACAAAGGAUGGCCAGCAACCACCAGAAGCGAGGAGAGAGGCAGGGAAGGGAUACUCCCUCCGAGCCUCCAGGAGGAAUCGACCCUGCUGACACCUCGAUUUCAGACUUCUGAUCUCUAGAACUGUGAGACAAUAAGUUUCUGUUGUUUUAAGCCACGCAGCUCGUGGUCCUUUGUAACAACAGCCCCAGGAAACUAACAGAGACCAAUAAAGAAUCUAGCUGGAAUUCAGGCUCUGCAAAUGACCCCUGAGACCAAAACAAGGCCUUGGAGAGAAACAAUAUUUGAAAAGAAUAACCAGUAAGAAGUCAUAACUGAGGAAGAACCGAGCUAUAGCAGAUCCAACUCCAAAUUCAUGGUGAGUGGGGACUCUCAUUUCACUCUUGGGCCAGCUCUCUAGGAUGUGAAUUUCUAGGAAGCUUCUAGUCCCGGAAGGUGCUCCUGGGGGUAGGGGUUAAAUCUGGCCUCCCAAUCUUGGAGUCAGACUGGAAGCAAUGCAGGGUGACCUCGGGCAAUCCUAGCCCAAAAAUGAGUAAAUACAUACUGUAAAUCAAACUGUCUUGUUUGUUUCUCUUUUUUGUUUUUCUUAGGGAAAAAUCUCUAAAAAGUCUAGAGAAUCGUCUAUAGAGUCCGCAGUGUGCAAAAAAGCCAAAGAAAAGCAGCUCCCCUUGAGGGCUGCAUGGUGAGAGCAAGAACUUUUGAGAGUCCCAAAGGGAGGGUGAAUGUGGAGGGAAUAGCCUGCCCGUCCCGACAUCCAGGUUUACCCUCCCACUUUGCAAGACCUGGGAUUUAUGACUGAGGGGGCAACAGAUUUCCACGGUGUUCCUGUCUCCCCUCUCAGCUGGCACGUGUUGCAAGCAGAGCUCAGCCUCCCUUCCCCAAUCAGGAGUCAGGCAGCCCUACAGCUGAGGGCACAAGGACCCAGACUCUCACCGCUACGCCUGUGCCUGGGGCGAAGUCUAGGGAGAGGUGGAUUUUGCUCUUGAGAGACCAUCCCCCGUCCCUGUUCCUGGAACCCCUCCCAGCGCAUCGGGAAGCUGUCAGUAAAGAACCCACAGGGCUGCCUCUUAAAAGGGGAAAAGCAAACAAUACUUCAGCCUGGGUACCAAUUAUCCCUGGACCUCGCCUACAGGUUCUGGUUCUUUCGAGGCCCCUACGUUUCUCACGGCUGGCGGUUACUCUGAAAAUGAAGAAGGGCCUUGUCCCCAGGCUUGGUCCUCACUGACAAUGCAGCCACCUCGCCCCACAGCUGGAUAUUGUCCUUCCCAGUCUCAGAGCUGCCCUCUCCACAUCCAAUCCCCAUUUGUCCCCCAAAGUGCCAUUUGUUUCUCUUAAAAUACAACUCACAGCAAGGGUUAGAGGUGCUCACCCCCAUCUUUCACCCACUAGGUUGGCACAGUUGGAGGAAAUGAGUUUUAAUAACACAAGCUGAGGGCCUGUUGGGGCUGGAAACACUCUCACGCUUUGCUGUGGGAGUGUCAGUUGACGUUAAUUUCCUUGAAGGUAAAAUCUGGAAUGGCAAUUUUUACUUUGAAUUUGUUCUGCCUUCUGACCCAGAAAUUCCACUUUUAGAAACUUAUUCUAAGAAAAUAAGGUAUGUAUACAAAUAUUCUGCUAGAAGGAUAUUCAUCUUGGCCUCAUGUACAAUAGAAAAAUAAAACUAAAUAGCAUCGAAAUAUCCAAGACAGGGAAGUUAUUUAAAUAAAUUUCGGAACAGUCACGCAUGGGAAUAUUAUCUAACCACCCAAGUGGGUGUUGUAAUACCAGUUGGCUU